GAUGAACGCUGGCGGCGUGCCUAAUACAUGCAAGUCGAGCGGACGGACGAGGAUCUUGCUUCACUGAUGUUAGCGGCGGACGGGUGAGUAACACGUGGAUAACCUACCUAUAAGACUGGGAUAACUUCGGGAAACCGGAGCUAAUACCGGAUGAUAUUUUGAACCGCAUGGUUCAAAAGUGAAAGACGGUCUUGCUGUCACUGCUAGCUGUAUCCGCGCUGCAUUAGCUAGUUGGUAAGGUAACGGCUUACCAAGGCAACGAUGCAUAGCCGACCUGAGAGGGGGAUCGGCCACACUGGAACUGAGACGCGGUCCAGACUCCUACGGGAGGCCGCAGUAGGGAAUCUUCCGCAAUGGGCGAAAGCCUGACGGAGCAACGCCGCGCGAGUGAUGAAGGUCUUCGGAUCGUAAAACUCUGUUAGUAGGGAAGACCAUAUGUGUAAGUAACUGUGCACAUCUUGACGGUACCUAAUCAGAAAGCCACGGCUAACUACGUG
Molecule: ribosomal RNA, 497 nt
Filed under: uncultured bacterium
Lineage: Bacteria
Description: partial 16S ribosomal RNA
Rfam family: Bacterial small subunit ribosomal RNA
Source: RNAcentral